GCUCUCUCCCUUCCGUCGGUAGCCUCGGCGCCGAGUAGCGAUUUGUGUGAGAGGGAAGAGACGAAGACAGGAGGAGGAGGAACACGACUGGUUAUUCUUAAUCACUCUGCUCGAGCUGCUAGGGAAUUGGCAUUAAUCUGCUCGUGAGGGAGUGACAUAUUGAGUAGCACAAGGAGUCGGAAGGUUCUGGUGCAGAGGGUGUCCAUUCAUUGUGAAAGACGUAAGAGGAGGGCAUCUCAGGGUGGACACAUCUUCUUUCAAAACCUUAGUCUUCUUGGCUAUCCCCUGUUUGGCUGUUUCCACUGGAUGUUGGUGCUCUAGUUUGCAUACUGAAAGACAAUGUCGUGGUGACAAUCACAUUGGCAUGGAACGAUCUGGCUCUAUAUCCUGUGUUCUCUUGCAUAUCUCAGUUGGCUUGUGUAUGAGUUGAUAGAAAAGAGGAUUCUAUUUAUUUAGAGGUAUCUUGUAGAACUUAAGUACCAUUCUAUGGUGAUGCAGUGAAAUUCUUAUGUCCAGUUAGGUCCAUAUCACUGUUAAUCGAUGAACUUAUGUACCAUUCAAAAAUCUUAUGUACCAUUCUAUGGUGAUGCUGUUGGUUACC
Panicum virgatum (switchgrass) is the source of this 601-nucleotide long non-coding RNA. RefSeq lists it as uncharacterized. The record is from RefSeq and is a predicted model, not a curated record. The transcript is spliced from 4 exons. Lineage: Eukaryota; Viridiplantae; Streptophyta; Magnoliopsida; Poales; Poaceae.